RNAcentral lists this ribosomal RNA (497 nucleotides) under uncultured bacterium. RNAcentral describes it as "partial 16S ribosomal RNA". It matches the Rfam family "Bacterial small subunit ribosomal RNA", at positions 28 to 507 of the family's 1533-position model. The record is from RNAcentral.
GAUGAACGCUGGCGGCGUGCCUAAUACAUGCAAGUCGAGCGAACGGACGAGAAGCUUGCUUCUCUGAUGUUAGCGGCGGACGGGUGAGUAACACGUGGAUAACCUACCUAUAAGACUGGGAUAACUUCGGGAAACCGGAGCUAAUACCGGAUGAUAUUUUGAACCGCAUGGUUCAAAAGUGAAAGACGGUCUUGCUGUCACUUAUAGAUGGAUCCGUGCUGCAUUAGCUAGUUGGUAAGGUAACGGCUUACCAAGGCAACGAUGCAUAGCCGACCUGAGAGGGUGAUCGGCCACACUGGAACUGAGACACGGUCCAGACUCCUACGGGAGGCAGCAGUAGGGAAUCUUCCGCAAUGGGCGAAAGCCUGACGGAGCAACGCCGCGUGAGUGAUGAAGGUCUUCGGAUCGUAAAACUCUGUUAUUAGGGAAGAACAUAUGUGUAAGUAACUGUGCACAUCUUGACGGUACCUAAUCAGAAAUCCACGGCUAACUACGUG